ACACACUUGACCUUCUCGAACACAACAUUUUUGCAUGUUCAAAUUAUUUGAACUUGCUGAGAUACUGGUAGUAUCUGAUGAGCCCCGCCGUUGCGAGCAGGGAGACGGGGGCAGCGGCAUGGAGAUGUCGGGGAACGCGACGGCGCCACAAAGCAACCAUGGUCGUCGGACUUGUGAAGCUGGAUCACUGCCUUUGAAACCAAAUCUCACAGAGUCAUUCUAGCACCUCGAGUCAACACCCUGAAGAAAAAAAAUGAUAUGGUAUCAUGCGUGUGCAGCAAACCAAUCGAGAAUUCAGAACAACAAAAGUAAAAUUCAUGUCGAUCCAUACCUCCAUCUGGCACCCUAGAUCCUGAGAUGACCAGUACUGAUCAUCGUUCAUUUAACUGGUCAUGUACCAAAAAUGCCCGAAAGCAAUUCCCAUGAGUACAGGUUAUAGAACUCGUAUGCCUCCUCAAGCGAGUCAAAUCGGGUAGAUAUGGUCGUCUGAAAAAAAUAUGUAUUUGUUGAUCUGCCU
RNAcentral lists this long non-coding RNA (517 nucleotides) under Triticum aestivum (bread wheat). RNAcentral's name for it is "long non-coding RNA (TAES_LNC005597)". The record is from RNAcentral. Lineage: Eukaryota; Viridiplantae; Streptophyta; Magnoliopsida; Poales; Poaceae.